CCUACGGGAGGCAGCAGUGGGGAAUAUUGCACAAUGGGGGAAACCCUGAUGCAGCGACGCCGCGUGAGUGAAGAAGUAAUUCGUUAUGUAAAGCUCUAUCAGCAGGGAAGAAAAUGACGGUACCUGAGUAAGAAGCCCCGGCUAUCUACGUGCCAGCAGCCGCGGUAAUACGUAGGGGGCACGCGUUAUCCGGAUUUACUGGGUGUAAAGGGAGCGUAGACGGUAGUGCAAGUCUGGAGUGAAUGGCUGGGGCUCAACCCCCGGACUGCUCUGGAAACUGUACGGCUGGAGUGCAGGAGAGGUAAGUGGAAUUCCUAGUGUAGCGGUGAAAUGCGUAGAUAUUAGGAGGAACACCAGUGGCGAAGGCGGCUUACUGGACUGUAACUGACGUUGAGGCGCGAAAGCGUGGGGAGCAAACAGGAUUAGAUACCCGUGUAGUC
Molecule: ribosomal RNA, 440 nt
Filed under: uncultured bacterium
Lineage: Bacteria
Description: partial 16S ribosomal RNA
Rfam family: Bacterial small subunit ribosomal RNA
Source: RNAcentral